RNAcentral lists this ribosomal RNA (587 nucleotides) under Phialemonium atrogriseum. Its description in RNAcentral is "eukaryotic LSU rRNA". The stretch from base 220 to 373 matches the Rfam family "5.8S ribosomal RNA". The record is from RNAcentral. Lineage: Eukaryota; Fungi; Ascomycota; Sordariomycetes; Cephalothecales; Cephalothecaceae.
GGAAGUAAAAGUCGUAACAAGGUCUCCGUUGGUGAACCAGCGGAGGGAUCAUUACAGAGUUGAAAAACUCCCAAACCACUGUGAACAUACCCGUAACCGUUGCUUCGGCGGGCGGCCCCAGGGAGGGGCCGCAGCCUCCAUUGCGGAGGCGCCCGCCGGAGGACACCAAAACAUACCUAUAUUUUUGUGGCCCUUCUGAGCGAUAGCGCAAAUAAUCAAAACUUUCAACAACGGAUCUCUUGGUUCUGGCAUCGAUGAAGAACGCAGCGAAAUGCGAUAAGUAAUGUGAAUUGCAGACUUCAGUGAAUCAUCGAAUCUUUGAACGCACAUUGCGCCCGCCAGCAUUCUGGCGGGCAUGCCUGUCCGAGCGUCAUUUCAACCCUCAAGCUCUGCUUGGUGUUGGGGCACUACGGUUGACGUAGGCCCUGAAAAUUAGUGGCGGGCUCGCUGUGGGUCCGGGCGUAGUAGCGAUAUCUCGCCUGCGGCCCCCAGCAAGCUCCAGCCGUUAAACCCCCCAAAUUACAGAAGGUUGACCUCGGAUCAGGUAGGACUACCCGCUGAACUUAAGCAUAUCAAUAAGCGGAGGA